RNAcentral lists this ribosomal RNA (449 nucleotides) under uncultured bacterium. RNAcentral's name for it is "SSU rRNA". It matches the Rfam family "Bacterial small subunit ribosomal RNA", at positions 26 to 518 of the family's 1533-position model. The record is from RNAcentral.
AGAACGAACGCUGGCGGCAGGCCUCAAACAUGCAAGUCUAGGGGAUGUAGCAAUACAUCACCGGCGGACGGGUGCGUAACACGUGGGAAUAUACCUUUCGGUACGGAACAACGCAGGGAAACUUGCGCUAAUACCGUAUACGCCCUUACGGGGAAAGAUUUAUCGCCGAAGGAUUAGCCCGCGUUCGAUUAGCUAGUUGGUGAGGUAAUGGCUCACCAAGGCUCCGAUCGAUAGCUGUUCUGAGAGGAAGAUCAGCCACACUGGGACUGAGACACGGCCCAGACUCCUACGGGAGGCAGCAGUUGGGAAUCUUGGACAAUGGGGGAAACCCUGAUCCAGCCAUGCCGCGUGAGUGAUGGAAGGCCUUCGGGUUGUAAAGCUCGUUUUACCGGGAAGAUAAUGACUGUACCGGGAGAAUAAGCUCCGGCUAACUUCGCGCCAGCAGCCGC